UGAGGAACAUGACUUUCGGCGGGGGAUAGCCGGCCCAACGGCCGGGUAAUACCGCGUACGACCUUUUGGGGACAUCCCCGAUUGGUGAAAGCAGCAAUGCGCCGAAAGAGUGCCUCGCGGCCUAUCAGCUAGUUGGUGGGGUAAUGGCUCACCAAGGCGACGACGGGUAGCUGGUCUGAGAGGAUGGCCAGCCGCAUUGGGACUGAGACACGGCCCAGACUCCUACGGGAGCAG
This 234-nucleotide ribosomal RNA is filed under the name uncultured bacterium. RNAcentral describes it as "partial 16S ribosomal RNA". It matches the Rfam family "Bacterial small subunit ribosomal RNA", at positions 118 to 347 of the family's 1533-position model. The record is from RNAcentral.